This 346-nucleotide ribosomal RNA is filed under the name uncultured bacterium. RNAcentral's name for it is "bacterial SSU rRNA". It matches the Rfam family "Bacterial small subunit ribosomal RNA", at positions 9 to 350 of the family's 1533-position model. The record is from RNAcentral.
GAGUUUGAUCCUGGCUCAUGAUGAACGCUAGCUACAGGCUUAACACGUGCAAGUCGAGGGGCAGCAUGUUGGUUGCUUGCAACCAACGAUGGCGACCGGCGCACGGGUGAGUAACGCGUAUCCAACCUACCCUUGUCCAUCGGAUAACCCGUCGAAAGGCGGCCUAACACGAUAUGCGGUUCACGGCAGGCAUCUAAGGUGAACGAAAUGUGAAGGAGAAGGAUGGGGAUGCGUCUGAUUAGCUUGUUGGCGGGGUAACGGCCACCAAGGCUACGAUCAGUAGGGGUUCUGAGAGGAAGGUCCCCACAUUGGAACUGAGACACGGUCCAAACUCCUACGGGAGGCA